RNAcentral lists this long non-coding RNA (5376 nucleotides) under Sus scrofa (pig). RNAcentral's name for it is "lncRNA (ENSSSCG00050008688.1)". The record is from RNAcentral. Lineage: Eukaryota; Metazoa; Chordata; Mammalia; Artiodactyla; Suidae.
GGCCACACCCGAGGCAUAUGGAGGUUCCCAGGUUUGGGGUCUAAUCUGAGCAGAGUCUGAGACCUACAACACAGCUCACAGCAAUGUCGGAUCCUUAACCCUCUGAGCAAGGCAAGGGAUUGAACCCGCAACCUCAUGCUUCCUAGGCAGAUUCCUUAACCGCUGAGCCAUGACGGGAACUCCCAAGCGUUCCAUAUUUUUUGAACGUUUCCACAGAAAAGAAAAUCAUAGACUUGGAGAAUAGACUUGUGGCUGCCCGGGGGGAGAUGGAGGGAGAGGGAGGGAUAGGGAACCUGGGGUUAACGGAUCAAACUAUUACUCUUGGAAUGGAUUUACAGUAAGAUUCUGCUGUGUAGCAUUGAGAACUAUGUCCAGAUACUUACAUUGCAACACAAUAAUGGAAGGAAAAAGUAUGUAUACAUGUAUGCGUAACUUGGUCCCCAAGCUGUACAGUGGGGCGGGGGGGGAAGAGCACACAGAAGGAAUACAACAAAUCAUGAUGCCAGAACAGGUUGCUUGGGGUAGAUGAGAACUGUCCCGAACAAUUGUCCUGAUAAGAAGUAUAUUAGUUAACAUGGGCUGCCAUAACAAAGUAUUACAGAUGGGGAGUAACAAUAGCAAUUUAUUUCUCAUGCUUCUAGAUACUGGGAAGUCCAAGAUCAAGAUGCUGGCUGAUUUGGUUCCUAACACUCCUCCAUGAGUGUCCAUAUACUCCUAAGCAUUCUGCUGGGAAUGCUAAGGAUGAGGGCACUGCAAGGUGCAGUGCUAGGCCAGUGAAGUGAGGGAUUCACUCCAGCUCUGCCUUAUUUCCCUUAGAAGGACCAAGCACAUUAGUGGCAGGCAAGGAAAGGGCAGAAUUUCCUUCCUUUUUAAGACUGAAAAAUAUUCCAUUGUAUCUAUAUACCACAUUUUGCUUAAUCAUUAUCCACUGAUGAACAUUUGAGAGGCUUCCAUGUUUUAGCUACUGCAAAUAAUGCUGGUAUAAACAAUGGGAAACUACUUCUCUCUGUAUAAUCAUGUAUAUUGACCAACUCAGUUAAGAGCAGGGAAGUUUGUGUAAAUUUAGCCAGAAGUGUUUAGGAAAAUGCUUAGAAAAAUCUUUCUCUUCCGUUGUCCCAGAGCUGAGAAAUGUUUGUCCUUGGAGUGUGUAUUUGGUCCAGUAACUUACCAGACAACUAUAGGAGAAAUGAAGAUUUACAUUUCACUUCUCACUAGUUUAGACAUAUCAAAUGGGAAAGUUUUGCUCAACUGCCUUGUACUAAGAAACUCAGACUUAUGGAAAUGUUUUGUGGAACUGUGUCCUGUGAAUUGCCUCACUGUGGCUGGGGUGGAGUUUGGGUGUGAGUUGAGCUGUGAUUCCUAGGGUAAAAUUAAUCUCUGUGGGUAGGAGUUAGAGUUUUCCUAAAUGGAGGCUGUUUUUUUACAGUAGGGAUUAAAGAAAGCUCCUUUACAGAGAAACAGAGAAGUAAAUUUAAACAGGACAACUAGAUACUGCUGUGUCCAUGAAGAGAACUCCCAAUCCCCAUGAAAUGUUCAUUGAUUUAUUCUUUUCCUUUGACUUUAGAAAUAGUCAUAUUUAGCAUUUGGUUUUAAUUUUUCUCAUGGGUAUUAAAGUUUAUUUUGUUAUCAAUAAUCCUUCAGUAAAGUUGUAAAGGUAAAGUCAUAUGUCGAUAGUGUGUGGGAUUUUAAGGGAAUUUAAAUUUUAAGGGAAACAUCCUUUAUGUCAGAGAGCACAAUCUUAUGAAGGAAUUAUGGGAAAGUGAGGAGAGGCUCAAGGCUGAGCAGAGAGGGCAAGAGCUGUUUGGAAAAAUGGUGCAAUCUAUACUAAUUCAGGGGUCAUCUUAAUACAAUCCUCCUCCCCCUCCAAAAUACAUAAACAGAAGAUUACGGAAAGGGAAAAAAAGUUUUAAGAAAUUAUCCUAGAUUAUUUUCAUUCAAGCAUCUUAUUUUUUAAAUAAACAUUAAAAAUAUUUAAAGAAAGAAACUUUGAUCACAGACAUUUCAUUUACCACUCAGCAUUUCUGUACAUUCUUUGGUUACAAUAAGGAAUCAAGUUUAAUUUCAACAAUAUCAAGAGAGUGGUCUGAUGACAAGUUUGGGCAGCACAGGAAAAAGCUGAAUUACCACACUCAACUAAUAACAUAAUAGGGGUGAAUCCAUGGUAAACCAAAAAUCUCCCUUUUCAUUUUGUUGUGCUUCUGAAACAUCACCUUGGAAAACUCAUAUUAAAAUAACAAUAACUGUGGUUACAUAAUGGAACUACCUUCAAGUUUUAAUGAAUAAUAGAUUUUUCUUUAAAAUGAUCUCACAAGGAAGUAGUACUGGUGGUAUGGAACUGGUUCCACAGAGAACAAAAAUUGAAAAUCUCACACAUAUUGUAUCCUAGGUCAGCAGUUUUCAAACUUUUUGGUCUCAGUACUCUUUUCACAAUCUUAAAAAUUAUUAAGAACUCUAAAGAACUUUAGAAAAUAUGGGUUAUAUCUAUAAAAAUUUAUGGUACUACAAUUAGAGAAAUGAAAAUGUUAAUUUAUUAGAAAUAACAAUACCAUGUUAACAUAAUGCAUUUUUAUGAACACAGGUAUAUUUUCAAAAACAAAAAGGUGGCAGUGUUUUAGAUUUUUGCCAAUCUCAUUAAUGCCUGGCUUAAUAGAAGGGAGCUAAAUUUUCACAUGUGCUUCAUUAUUCAAUCUAUUGUGUAAUCUAUCUAUAUUGCUUUGACUGAAGUACAUUAAGAUAACAUGGCUUCACACAGAUGAAUAGUUGGAAAGUGAGGAAUAUUUUACUAACUUUCCCAGAUAAUCACAGAUAUUCUUCACAAGCGGUUGUAUCUUAAAAGUUAGUUGUAAUGUAGAAUCUGAAACUAUAUCAAUGAACUCUCUGUAUUCUGUUAUACGAAAAUGGACUGGUCUAAAUUGUACUUUGGAUGUUUCACGCACACAUGAUUUUGUAACAUCAUGCACUGGUCAUUUGAAGAUACUGUCUCCUCUAAUUAUGAAAAGACUCAGUAUAUUGACACAUUUUAAUCUACAAACUCUACUUGUUAACACAUUUUCCUCUGUAGAAAAGUCUCAGAAUUAGUAAGUUGUCAAGUUCACAGUGGUAGAUAUAAGAUUUCUAAAAUCUUUAGUUUUUAUUUUAAAGCUUUAAUUUUAUCAGUGACAACAAAUACUGCCAGUGGUUUUCCCUGAAAGGAGAGGCUAACUUUGGGGCUGACUUCAAGAAAAUAUUUGGGGGAGCUCCCGUUGUGGCGCAGCAGAAAUGAAUCUGACUAGUAUCCAUGAGGAUGGGGGUUGGAUUCCUGACCUCGCUUAGGUCAGGAAUCAGGCAUUGCCAUGAGCUACGGAGCAGGCUGCAGACACAGCUUGGAUCCCGCCUUGCUGAGGCUGUGGCUGGCAGCUGCAGCUCCAAUUCUACCCCUAACCUUGGAACUUCCAUAUGCUGCAGGUGCAGCCGUAAAAAGACCCCCUCCCCUCCAAAAAAAUCUGUCAAAAUCCCACAUCUGAAUGACCAAAGUUUGUCACUUGUUCUUUCAAGCAAAAAUGCUAUUCUGUGAAAACAGCGGCUAGUUAAAAAUACAUGCACUCAAUACCUAAACUUUAAUAAAAGUAAUGCUCGCAAUUUCAUCAAGGACAUUCUUAAAUGAAAUGGGCAAUUUUUUUGAUUGCAAGUACAUGACUGAGAAUAAUGACUACUACAGUUUGGUGCGACUUGUCAAUGAUUUGUGCUAAGGCCCCAGAAGUUUUAUUUACUAUUGAUCUGACACUAUCACUGCAAAAACUAGCAGUAAAGAACCCAGUAAUAGUUGGUUGCCCCCUCCCCUCCACUCCCAUACCUGAAGCACAUGGAAAUCCCUGGCUAGGGGGUCGAAUCUGAGCCACCACUGCGGCCUACACCAGAGUUGUGGCAAGUGUAUCUUUAACCCACUGCCCUGGACCUCAGGGAUGGAAACUGCACAAAAGAGAGCAGCUGUGGAGACAACAACUGAUCCCUGACCGAUUGCACCAGUGGCAACUCCAAAUAACAGCAUUAUUAUAAACAGCUUUGAGUUUGCAGACUCUCUGAAAGGGUCCUGGAGAUCCCAGGAUUGUGAAACCACACUUGGUGAACUGCUAUGGUAGGUAUGCAGAAUAUAAAAACAAGACACCACCCCUAUAUUCUGAAGUUCAUCUUGUAACAGAGGAAACCUAUAGAGAUGAUUACAACACAGCUUUAAUGAUAGAAGAAAUGGCAGCAGUCUGGAGGAUAAAGACAAGCGUGGCAGUGGAGAUCAGGUAGCAUUCCUGCAGUAAUGCAGACAAGCAAUGAGGAGGACCUGAGCUAAGGAGGUGGCACAAGAAUGGAGAGAACUUUUUUUUUUUUUUUUUUUUUUUUGCUUUCUAGGGCCACACCUGAGGCAUAUGGAAGUUCUCAGGCUAGGGAUCCAAUCAGAGCUGCAGCUGCCCACCUACAUCACCAAUCAAGAGAUUCUGGCCACAUAUGCCACCUACACCAAAGCUCAGCAAGGCCCUAUACUUAACCCACUGAAAGAGGCCAGGGGUCAAACCCACAUCCUCAUGGAUACUAGUCGGGUUCAUAAUCGGCUGAACCAUAACAGGAACGCCUGGAAAAACUUUUAAGGCGGUGGAAUUACAGGACCUGGCGACUGAUCAGCCAUGAGGACCAGAGGAAUAGGGCAAUUUUGUGGGCGGUGCUGCCUUUCCUGAGAGGCACUGCAGGAGGAGCAAGGCGGAGAUUUACGUUUAGUUUGGCAUCAACUUUGAGUGUCAGAUCUCCAGCCAGCGGUGUCACAACAGGCAAUUAGCUAUUACCGCUUCUUCCAAGAGGGCCUUGCCGAGUUUUCUCACUCCCUGCCGAAUCCUCAGUGCCUAGCACGACACCUAGCUCUUAACGCUGAUUAAAUAAAGAAACGAAUCUGGUCGGGAGUCUGUGACAGUCAUCUAAAAGGAGGGUUCCAUUUGGCAGUCAUUUUCUAUACAUGUUCAUUUGAAACCACAGGAGAGGAUGAAACCAGCUCGACUGUAAUCAUAGGAUUUAACUCCCGCUUAAAAACCUUUCUGGUCCUAAAAAGCUAGAAUAAUUGUCGUUCUUGGGAAAUGUUGCCUGAAAUAGGUGACGACGGCCUUGAACAUUAAAGUUGGUUCGGAAAACCUGUUUUUGUAUAACGCAGAAUACUCAACAAGCGAGACUUGUUACCUUGAAGCGCGCUUUUGAACAUCUAUCAGACUGGUUUUACCCGGGGUGAGGUGGGACUGACAUCAAAUGUCCCACCUUUCAGUGUCUGGACGGCGUCUUUCACAAACUCCAUUUUCAUAAAACGUAGAGACUCCCCCAAAUCCCAGGAAGCAGCCCAGGAGCAGGUUCGGCUGUGGCGGGUCC